This 254-nucleotide ribosomal RNA is filed under the name uncultured bacterium. Its description in RNAcentral is "partial 16S ribosomal RNA". It matches the Rfam family "Bacterial small subunit ribosomal RNA", at positions 524 to 776 of the family's 1533-position model. The record is from RNAcentral.
CACGUAGGGUGCGAGCGUUGUCCGGAAUUAUUGGGCGUAAAGAGCUCGUAGGCGGUGUGUCGCGUCGGCCGUGAAAACCUGCAGCUUAACUGUGGGCGUGCGGUCGAUACGGGCAUCACUGGAGUUCGGCAGGGGAGACUGGAAUUCCUGGUGUAGCGGUGAAAUGCGCAGAUAUCGGGAGGAACACCGGUGGCGAAGGCGGGUCUCUGGGCCGAUACUGACGCUGAGGAGCGAAAGCGUGGGGAGCGAACAGG